GAUGAUGAAUUAAAUGGCCGCAGUAUUUUGACUGUGCAAAGGUAGCAUAAUCAAUAGCUCUUUAAUUUGGGGCUGGUAUGAAUGGUAGGAUGAAAUGGAUUCUGUCUUUAUAGUAUGACAUUGAUAUUUACUUUUAGGUGAUAAGGCUUAAAUUUGAUAAUUAGACGAGAAGACCCUAUUAAGCUUUAUAUUUAUGAGGUUGUUAAUUUUUUAUAAAUUGUCUAGAGAUUUUUUUAAGUAUUAUGUUGGGGCAACAUUGAAGCGAAAUUCUUUAAUAUUAAAUUUAUAUUAUGUGUUUUGAUCCAAAAUUUUUGACUAUGAGAUUAAGUUACUAUAGGGAUAACAGCAUAAUUUGUUUGGAGAGUUCUUAUCGAUAAAUGGGAUUGUGACCUCGAUGUUGGUUUAUUAAGUCUAUGGGAUGAAGGAGUUUCACUAGAG
This 438-nucleotide ribosomal RNA is filed under the name Eusimonia nigrescens. Its description in RNAcentral is "partial 16S ribosomal RNA". It matches the Rfam family "Bacterial large subunit ribosomal RNA", at positions 1914 to 2571 of the family's 2925-position model. The record is from RNAcentral. Lineage: Eukaryota; Metazoa; Arthropoda; Arachnida; Solifugae; Karschiidae.